This 351-nucleotide unclassified non-coding RNA is filed under the name uncultured Ascomycota. RNAcentral's name for it is "sequence contains ITS1". The stretch from base 1 to 105 matches the Rfam family "5.8S ribosomal RNA", at positions 50 to 154 of the family's 154-position model. Lineage: Eukaryota; Fungi; Ascomycota. The record is from RNAcentral.
GAAAUGCGAUAAGUAAUGUGAAUUGCAGAAUUCAGUGAAUCAUCGAGUCUUUGAACGCACAUUGCGCCCCAUGGUAUUCCGUGGGGCAUGCCCGUCUCAGCGUCAGCGAAACCCAUCGAGCCGGGCCCUUUCGUGGGCCCCGGUUUGGAUGUCGUCAGGGAGGCAGUUGCGGCCAUUGUCGCCUGCCCCUUGGAAAACCAUUGAACGGUCAGGCUGUAGUAGCCGCCUGUUGUUGCCAGACGCGAUAAGCAAGUCACCUCGUCCGGCCGACCAUCAGGUUUGACGGACCGUCAGCCCACAAAUAUCUUUAGACUUGACCUGAGAUCGGGUAGGAGUACCCGCUGAACUUAA